ACGCUCGACACCUACGGGAGGCGGCAGUGGGGAAUAUUGCACAAUGGGGGAAACCCUGAUGCAGCGACGCCGCGUGGAGGAAGAAGGUCUUCGGAUUGUAAACUCCUGUUGUUGGGGAAAAAGAGGAUGGUACCCAACAAGGAAGUGACGGCUAACUACGUGCCAGCAGCCGCCGGUAAUCUGAGCGGGCUGGCAAGGC
RNAcentral lists this ribosomal RNA (199 nucleotides) under uncultured bacterium. Its description in RNAcentral is "partial 16S ribosomal RNA". It matches the Rfam family "Bacterial small subunit ribosomal RNA", at positions 328 to 539 of the family's 1533-position model. The record is from RNAcentral.